Molecule: long non-coding RNA, 1092 nt
Organism: Cornus florida
Lineage: Eukaryota; Viridiplantae; Streptophyta; Magnoliopsida; Cornales; Cornaceae
Exons: 4
Source: RefSeq, a predicted model, not a curated record
GGUACUUCAGCGCAAGAGGGCCUGACUCUCUACAAAUGUGAAUGCAAAGAGGCAAACACGAGGAAUCAUACCCUUUGCUCUUAUUUUUUGAACUCGGACGUUUGGUCCAGGUUGUUGAUCUUGUUCACCUAAUCGGAAAGAUAAAAACGCUCUGACAACACUCAUCCCGUUACUAAAGAAAUACAAUAGGUCCAAGUUCGGCAUUAGCUUUCACAACUGCUCGCUUCACGUAUCUACCAAGGUUCCAAUAUGAGAAUUUGGAGCACAAUAAAACCAUAUUCGAGAGUUAUUGAAAUGGCAGCAAUAAGGAAGGGUUGCAUUGCACCCCAUCACAGCUACCUUUGGCUUGGGUAUCAUCACCAAGGCAGCAACGCUUGUCCCAUACUGGGCACCACCAAGCUUGAGAAUCUGAACUAGAACAUAAAUUGGAGCUUUGUAAGUAAAGCUAACACCGGAAGAGACUGCUGAACUUGAAUCUUUUGCCUCUGUUGAUGCUGUUAAGGCCAGGUGACAGAUGUGAAAACAUGUUAGCUACUUGGGAGAAUUCAGACACUCCAUUCUUGUCCUCAUGGAAGAGUACUAACUAAAGAGGCUUAAAAGGUUGAAUGCGGGUCAAAUCAACGACUGUGGUCAGAACAUGUACGCCAGAAUUUUCCCUUCCUCCUAGAAUCUAGGAGCAGGUCUCCUAUUUUCACAAGAAGCUAGAUACGACGACUCAUCUCUUUUUCCAAUCUCGACUCAGUAACUUAACUUGGGACUUGAGAGUUAAGACCCAAAGACACCAAGACAAAGGCAAAAUAGCGAGCUAAAUAUGACUAUUGGUGGUACAUACCCAAACUCAUGUUUAACACACAUAUAUUUGUACGUUCAAUAGUCAUACAUAUAAACAUAUUACUCUUUAUGAUUCCAUGUUUGGCUUAGGUAUUUAUUAUUUUCUUUUUAUGUUUUAAAGAAUUAUGGGAUUUACUUUGAUUCACACCUGAAAUGGUUUGAACACCUUAAGUGAGCAGUUGAAAUUAGAGCUUUUUAAGUGCCAUACCAUGGGGGUCCUUGUUGAAUGUGUUGCUGAUGUUUGAAGAUAGUGGCAGCAAU